Molecule: non-coding RNA, 108 nt
Filed under: Polarella glacialis
Lineage: Eukaryota; Dinophyceae; Suessiales; Suessiaceae
Source: RNAcentral
AGGACAAGAAGAAAAAGAAAAAGGAGAAGAAAAAAAAGAAGAAAUCCUCCUCAUCUUCGGACGGCUCCAGCUCCAGCUCCUCUAGCUCGUAGUUAUUCCUUAGUCUUA